Non-coding RNA from Paramuricea clavata, 433 nucleotides. The record is from the annotation of a GenBank genome assembly. NCBI's taxonomy places the organism in Eukaryota, Metazoa, Cnidaria, Anthozoa, Malacalcyonacea, Plexauridae.
AACAUCCAAGAUGGCGGCGCAAAAUAAAUUGCUGGCUGAGGCAAUUUUAGAGGACAAACUUGUCGUGAUAAUGCUGUUCCAAUAACUUGUCUACAAGAUAUGUUCUCAACGGGCUUGUAGCAAGCUUGUUAACAAGUUGUGUCAAUGCUGUUCCAAAAGCAAGCUUGUAGACAAGUUGUUGGAACAGCAUUAUCACGACAAGUUUGUCUUCUAAAAUUGCCUCAACCAGCAAUUUAUUUUGCGCCGCCAUCUUGGAUGUUUACUUUCGUAUACUACGCAUGCGCUGUUACGACAAUCCGUCAGCAGAUAGCUUUCGUUCGCCGCACACGGAAAGAUUUUGGCACGCGAGGCAGAAAUUAUCAAACAUGUUAGAUAUUUGGCGUAAGUGGCACGAAUGACAAAAGUCGUUCGUAAAUCGCCCGCACACGAGAGC